Molecule: ribosomal RNA, 392 nt
Filed under: uncultured bacterium
Lineage: Bacteria
Description: partial 16S ribosomal RNA
Rfam family: Bacterial small subunit ribosomal RNA
Source: RNAcentral
AUACGGAGGAUCCGAGCGUUAUCCGGAUUUAUUGGGUUUAAAGGGUGCGCAGGCGGCCAUUUAAGUCAGCGGUUAAAUCGUGGGGCUCAACCCCAUUCUGCCGUUGAUACUGGGUGGCUUGAUUGCGGUCGAGGUUGGCGGAAUUCGUUGUGUAGCGGUGAAAUGCAUAGAUAUGACGAAGAACACCGAAUGCGUAGGCAGCUCGCCAUGCCUGCAUGGACGCUCGGGCACGACAGCGUGGGGAUCGAACAGGAUUAGAGCCCCUGGUAGGCCACGCCGUAAACGAUGGGCGCGCGUCGUCGGCGACAGACAGUCGGCGGCCAAGCGAAAGCGAUAAGCGCCCCACCUGGGGAGUACGGUCGCAAGGCUGAAACUCAAAUGAAUUGACGGGG